RNAcentral lists this ribosomal RNA (330 nucleotides) under uncultured bacterium. Its description in RNAcentral is "bacterial SSU rRNA". It matches the Rfam family "Bacterial small subunit ribosomal RNA", at positions 568 to 897 of the family's 1533-position model. The record is from RNAcentral.
UGCGCAGGCGGUUAUAUAAGUCAGAUGUGAAAUCCCCGGGCUCAACCUGGGAACUGCAUUUGAGACUGUAUGGCUAGAGUGUGUCAGAGGGGGGUAGAAUUCCACGUGUAGCAGUGAAAUGCGUAGAUAUGUGGAGGAAUACCGAUGGCGAAGGCAGCCCCCUGGGAUAACACUGACGCUCAUGCACGAAAGCGUGGGGAGCAAACAGGAUUAGAUACCCUGGUAGUCCACGCCCUAAACGAUGUCAACUAGUUGUCGGGACUUAAUUGUCUUGGUAACGCAGCUAACGCGUGAAGUUGACCGCCUGGGGAGUACGGUCGACAAGAUUAA